This 508-nucleotide ribosomal RNA is filed under the name uncultured bacterium. RNAcentral describes it as "bacterial SSU rRNA". It matches the Rfam family "Bacterial small subunit ribosomal RNA", at positions 19 to 518 of the family's 1533-position model. The record is from RNAcentral.
AUGGCUCAGAUUGAACGCUGGCGGCAGGCCUAACACAUGCAAGUCGAACGGUAACAGGAAGAAGCUUGCUCUUGCUGACGAGUGGCGGACGGGUGAGUAAUGUCUGGGAAACUGCCUGAUGGAGGGGGAUAACUACUGGAAACGGUAGCUAAUACCGCAUAACGUCGCAAGACCAAAGAGGGGGACCUUCGGGCCUCUUGCCAUCGGAUGUGCCCAGAUGGGAUUAGCUUGUUGGUGGGGUAACGGCUCACCAAGGCGACGAUCCCUAGCUGGUCUGAGAGGAUGACCAGCCACACUGGAACUGAGACACGGUCCAGACUCCUACGGGAGGCAGCGGUGGGGAAUAUUGCACAAUGGGCGCAAGCCUGAUGCAGCCAUGCCGCGUGUAUGAAGAAGGCCUUCGGGUUGUAAAGUACUUUCAGCGGGGAGGAAGGGAGUAAAGUUAAUACCUUUGCUCAUUGACGUUACCCGCAGAAGAAGCACCGGCUAACUCCGUGCCAGCAGCAGC